CAGUAGCCGCGGUAAUACGUAGGUGGCAAGCGUUGUCCGGAAUUAUUGGGCGUAAAGGGCUCGCAGGCGGUUUCUUAAGUCUGAUGUGAAAGCCCCCGGCUCAACCGGGGAGGGUCAUUGGAAACUGGGAAACUUGAGUGCAGAAGAGGAGAGUGGAAUUCCACGUGUAGCGGUGAAAUUCGUAGAGAUGUGGAGGAACACCAGUGGCGAAGGCGACUCUCUGGUCUGUAACUGACGCUGAGGAGCGAAAGCGUGGGGAGCGAACAGGAUUAGAUACCCCAGUAGUCCCUGUCUCUUAUAC
This 301-nucleotide ribosomal RNA is filed under the name uncultured bacterium. RNAcentral's name for it is "partial 16S ribosomal RNA". It matches the Rfam family "Bacterial small subunit ribosomal RNA", at positions 509 to 807 of the family's 1533-position model. The record is from RNAcentral.